Pan troglodytes (chimpanzee) is the source of this 7817-nucleotide RNA transcript. It is a transcript of the gene named DLEC1 cilia and flagella associated protein, with no coding region annotated. The transcript has 38 exons. NCBI's taxonomy places the organism in Eukaryota, Metazoa, Chordata, Mammalia, Primates, Hominidae. The record is from RefSeq and is a predicted model, not a curated record.
GGGGUGGGGCCGGAAGCCGAAGUGCCGCAGGGAGUUAGCGGCGUCUCGGUUGCCAUGGAGACCAGGAGCUCCAAAACGCGGAGGUCUUUAGCGUCCCGGACCAACGAGUGCCAGGGCACAAUGUGGGCGCCAACUUCGCCACCAGCCGGGUCCAGCAGCCCCAGCCAGCCCACCUGGAAGUCCUCCUUGUAUUCCUCCCUCGCCUACUCUGAGGCCUUCCACUACAGCUUCGCAGCCCGGCCCCGCCGCCUCACGCAGCUUGCGCUGGCGCAGCGUCCCGAGCCUCAGCGGCUUCGUCCGCGCCCCUCCUCGCUGCGCACCCAAGAUAUCUCGCACUUGCUCACCGGCGUCUUCCGCAACUUGUACUCGGCCGAGGUCAUCGGCGACGAAGUGAGCGCAAGCUUGAUCAAGGCCCGCGGCAGCGAGAAUGAGCGCCACGAGGAGUUCGUGGACCAGCUGCAGCAGAUUCGGGAGCUCUAUAAGCAGCGGCUGGAUGAGUUUGAAAUGUUGGAGAGAUGUAUCACUCAGGCCCAAGCACGGGCUAUUGCGGAAAACGAGCGGGUCAUGAGCCAGGCUGGAGUACAGGACCUCGAGAGCCUUGUCAGGUUGCCUCCAGUGAAGAGUGUCUUCAGAUGGUGUAUAGACAGCGAGUUGCUACGGAAACAUCAUUUGAUCUCCCCAGAAGAUUACUACACCGAUACAGUGCCGUUUCACUCUGCACCUAAAGGAGUGCCCACCUCCUCACCUUGUUGCAGUGAUUCAGUUUGUUUCCUUGAUGCUGUAGGCAUCUCCCUACCUGGAUGUUCAAAACUGACAUUUAGCUGUGAGAAGCGUUCCGUCCAGAAGAAAGAGCUGAACAAGAAGCUUGAAGAUUCAUGCAGGAAGAAGCUUGCUAUGUUCGAAGAUGAGUUAGACCACACUGUGGACAGCCUGACAUGGAAUUUAACUCCUAAGGCCAAAGAAAGGACCAGAGAACCUCUCAAGAAAGCAAGUCAACCAAGGAAUAAAAACUGGAUGAACCACUUACGUGUGCCACAGAGAGAGCUAGACAGACUUCUGCUUGCCAGAAUGGAGAGUCAGAACCACUUCCUAAAAAAUCCCCGUUUUUUUCCUCCUAACACUCCAUAUGGAGGCAAGUCUCUUGUUUUUCCUCCAAAGAAGCCAGCACCGAUAGGAGAAUUCCAGAGUACGGAGCCAGAACAGAGUUGUGCUGAUACUCCAGUGUUUCUAGCUAAGCCACCAAUUGGGUUUUUCACAGAUUAUGAAAUUGGUCCAGUUUAUGAGAUGGUAAUUGCACUGCAGAACACCACCACGACCAGCCGCUACCUGCGAGUCCUCCCGCCUUCCACGCCAUACUUCGCUCUGGGACUGGGGAUGUUCCCAGGAAAAGGUGGAAUGGUGGCUCCUGGAAUGACCUGCCAGUACGUUGUCCAGUUUUUUCCCGACUGCCUUGGGGAUUUUGAUGAUUUUAUUUUAGUGGAGACCCAGUCAGCCCACACACUUCUGAUCCCCCUGCAGGCCCGGAGGCCGCCCCCUGUGCUGACAUUGUCACCGGUGUUGGACUGUGGUUACUGCCUCAUUGGGGGAGUCAAGAUGACCAGAUUCAUCUGCAAAAAUGUGGGUUUCAGUGUUGGCAGGUUCUGCAUUAUGCCCAAAACAAGCUGGCCACCACUAAGUUUCAAGGCCAUUGCAACCGUCGGCUUUGUUGAACAACCUCCUUUUGGAAUCCUGCCUUCGGUGUUUGAGCUGGCCCCGGGACAUGCUAUAUUAGUGGAGGUCUUGUUUUCCCCAAAGAGCCUAGGAAAGGCAGAGCAGACCUUCAUCAUCAUGUGCGACAACUGCCAGAUAAAGGAGCUGGUGACCAUAGGAAUUGGGCAGCUGAUUGCUUUGGAUCUGAUCUAUAUUUCUGGUGAAAAAAGCCAACCAGACCCUGGAGAGCUCACAGACUUAACAGCCCAGCACUUCAUACGAUUUGAGCCUGAAAACCUUCGGUCCACGGCUAGGAAGCAGCUGAUUAUUAGAAAUGCUACGCACGUGGAGCUGGCCUUCUACUGGCAGAUCAUGAAGCCCAACCUGCAGCCCCUCAUGCCUGGAGAAACCUUCAGCAUGGACAGCAUCAAGUGCUACCCCGACAAGGAGACUGCCUUCUCCAUCAUGCCCAGAAAGGGGGUUCUAAGCCCCCACACAGACCACGAGUUCAUCCUGAGCUUUUCUCCUCAUGAGCUGAGGGAUUUUCACAGUGUGCUCCAGAUGGUGCUAGAGGAAGUCCCAGAGCCUGUAAGUUCAGAAGCGGAGAGCCUGGGGCACUCCUCCUACUCUGUGGAUGAUGUGAUUGUCCUGGAAAUCGAGGUGAAAGGCUCAGUAGAACCUUUCCAGGUUCUCUUAGAGCCAUAUGCCCUCAUCAUCCCAGGGGAGAACUACAUUGGGAUAAAUGUGAAGAAGGCUUUUAAGAUGUGGAACAACAGCAAGUCACCCAUUAGAUACCUGUGGGGGAAGAUCAGCGACUGCCACAUCAUUGAAGUGGAGCCCGGCACAGGGGUCAUAGAGCCCAGUGAGGUCGGGGAUUUUGAGUUGAACUUUACUGGGGGUGUCCCUGGCCCCACAAGCCAGGACCUGCUGUGUGAAAUCGAAGACUCACCCUCGCCAGUGGUGUUACACAUUGAGGCUGUCUUUAAGGGGCCUGCCCUCAUCAUCAACGUCUCAGCCCUUCAGUUUGGUCUGCUCCGCCUGGGGCAGAAAGCCACAAACUCCAUCCAGAUCCGGAACGUCAGCCAGCUCCCAGCCACAUGGCGCAUGAAGGAGAGCCCAGUCUGCCUCCAGGAAAGGCCUGAGGAUUGGGCGAUCUGGAACAAGACAAAGUCACACAAAUCACCAGCUACUCGCAAAGUGCCCGCAGUGUCUCCCUUCGACAUUGAGCCUUCGAGUGGCCAGCUUCACUCUCUGGGGGAGUGCAGGGUGGACAUCACCUUGGAGGCCCUGCACUGCCAGCAUCUGGAGACCGUCCUGGAGCUGGAGGUGGAAAAUGGGGCCUGGAGCUACCUUCCUGUGUAUGCUGAGGUACAGAAGCCCCAUGUGUACCUACAGAGCAGCCAGGUGGAGGUUAGAAAUCUCUACCUGGGUGUGCCCGCGAAGACAACCAUCACACUUAUCAAUGGCACGCUCCUGCCUACCCAGUUCCACUGGGGCAAGCUCCUCGGGCACCAAGCAGAUUUCUGCAUGGUGACAGUCUCCCCCAAACAUGGCCUGCUGGGCCCAAGCGAGGAGUGCCAGCUCAAGUUGGAGUUGACUGCUCAUACCCAGGAAGAGCUGACCCAUCUGGCCCUCCCUUGUCAUGUGUCAGGCAUGAAGAAGCCACUGGUUCUAGGCAUUUCUGGGAAGCCGCAGGCACUGCAAGUGGCCAUCACCAUCUCUGAGGAGAGUUCUGAUUGCAGUGUUUUCAGCACAGAGCAGUGGCCAGGCCACCCAAAGGAGCUCCGCCUGGACUUUGGCUCAGCGGUGCCACUGAGGACCCGUGUGACUCGCCAGCUCAUUCUCACCAAUCGCUCCCCAAUACGGACCCCUUUCUCCCUCAAGUUUGAGUACUUCGGGAGCCCCCAAAACAGCCUGAGCAAAAAGACCAGCCUUCCCGACAUGCCUCCUGUCCUGCUAAAGACAGUGCGGAUGCAAGAGCACCUGGCCAAGCGAGAGCAGCUGGAUUUUAUGGAGAGCAUGCUAUCCCACGGGAAAGGAGCUGCUUUCUUCCCUCACUUUUCCCAGGGCAUGCUGGGGCCCUACCAGCAGCUGUGCAUUGACAUCACAGGCUGUGCCAACAUGUGGGGCGAGUACUGGGACAACCUCAUCUGCACGGUGGGAGACCUGCUGCCGGAAGUCAUCCCAGUGCACAUGGCAGCAGUGGGCUGCCCCAUCAGCUCCCUGAGGACCACCUCCUACACUACUGACCAGGCCCAGAAGGAACCAGCCAUCAGGUUCGGCACCCAGGUCUCCGGAGGAGACACAGUUACCCGAACCCUUCGCCUGAAUAACUCCAGCCCCUGUGACAUCCGCCUGGAUUGGGAGACCUAUGUUCCAGAAGACAAGGAAGACCGGCUGGUGGAGCUGCUGGUGUUUUACGGACCACCUUUCCCGCUGCGGGACCAAGCCGGGAAUGAGCUUGUGUGCCCUGAUACCCCUGAGGGUGGCUGCCUCCUCUGGUCCCCAAGCCCCUCCAGUUCAUCGGAAUUCAGCCAUGAAACUGACUCAUCAGUUGAGGGCAGCUCCAGUGCCAGCAAUAGGGUGGCACAGAAGCUCAUCUCAGUCAUCCUGCAGGCACAUGAGGGGGUGCCCUCCGGCCACCUGUACUGUAUCAGCCCCAAGCAGGUGGUGGUCCCUGCUGGGGGCAGCAGCACCAUCUACAUCUCCUUCACCCCUAUGGUGCUCAGCCCUGAGAUCCUGCACAAGGUGGAGUGUACUGGCUACGCCCUGGGUUUCAUGAGCUUGGACAGCAAGUAGGUGGAAAGGGAGAUUCCAGGGAAGAGGCAUCGCCUGCAGGACUUUGCGGUGGGACCCCUGAAACUGGACCUGCAUAGCUACGUGAGGCCUGCACAGCUAAGUGUGGAGCUGGACUACGGCGGCAGUAUGGAAUUCCAGUGCCAGGCCAGUGACCUCAUUCCCGAGCAGCCCUGCUCUGGGGUGCUGAGUGAGCUGGUGACCACCCACCACCUGAAGCUGACCAACACUACAGAGAUCCCACACUACUUCCGGCUUAUGGUCUCCAGGCCCUUCUCUGUUUCUCAAGAUGGGGUGAGCCGGGACCACAGAGCUCCUGGCCCUGGCCAGAAGCAGGAGUGUGAGGAGGAGACAGCCUCGGCGGACAAGCAGCUGGUGCUCCGAGCACAGGAGAACAUGCUGGUCAGUGGGGGAGUCUGCAGCCCUUGCAGCGAUGGCACACCCUCGCAUGUGUACAGACAGCACCCCUGCACGCCACCCUCAUGUGCUUGUACCCAGACGCAAACUGCAUGCCUGACCCUGCCAUACCCUGCAUGAACACUCGGGGGUGCACUCCCACCAGAAACACCACAUUCAGCACCUCUGCACAAGUGGCUGACAUGGGCAUGGCCACACCAGACGUUGUGUUCACAUACAUGCGUGCACGUGUUCCAUAAAUGUCCCCAGACUUCCCUUUCCCUAUUAGUCCCCACUGCUGAGAUGCUGGCAGAGGCUGAUGCAUUCCUGUGAGCACCUCCCCUUCCCACACAGACUCCGUCCUCCUGUGCAAGCUCAGGGUUUGUGUCCCAGCUCAGGUGAGCCCAUGGGGUUGCCGUAAUUGUAAGACACUCCAGGUUCUAACGUAAAUUUUCCUCUUCUGACUUAUUCUCAGUGACAAUUGGAUCCUGGAUUUUCAGAGUUGGUUAGGUAGGGGAAGGUCUUGGGAAUGUCAGAACCUCAGUGGAAACCAUCAACUUCCUCUGGUCUCUGAGGCAACUGGAAUGAGGCUGAGUGUGCGCACACCCAUAUCUGCACAGUGGGCUUCCAGGGUGUGCAGAGGCAGGCUGAGGGGAGACAGCCCCGCCCUGUCUCCUACUUCCCCUCCUGCUUCAGAGGCCCUCUUUCUUCUUCUUGGAGGGCUUCCCUUUAUGCUGUGCUCCCUUGAGCUCUGCCAGGUCGUAGCCUCACUCUGCACAUUUCUGGGUUGUCUCAUCCAUUUCCAGAGCCUCAGUGAACAGCCAUAUUAUUUCUAUCCAAUAUAUACUCCACUGUGUAGCGAGGGCCUGCUGUGUACUAGAUGCUGGUACUCCCCGAGGACCUCAUCAUGGAGGUCAGGGACACACACGGAUCUGCAGAAGACAGAAUGGCUCCCUUGACCCACUUUGCGUUUGCUCCCUUCAACGAGCUAAAUGGAGGGGAAGGCCCAGAGCACAGCCAGAGGUUCCAUUCCACCAGAGCUUCCAAGGAGACACGGCGGUUAGCCACCAGGCAUUUAAAAGUCCUUGGCAGCUCUGGGGAAGCCCAACGGUUCCAGAAAAAGGACAUCACAUAAUUAAUGGUGCUGCAUCUCACCCUCCAUGCGCUAACAAUGCUCAGGUUUCUGGCUCCUGGCCAGAAUUAUCUCCCAGGCUGUAGAGCCAAACUCAAUCUGUCCAAAGUGAACUCCCCAUCCCCUCCCCACCUUGUCCUGCCCCACAUCUGUGCCUCCUUUUUGUGGUGGCAUUUUGUCUCAGCAAAUACCACCCCCAGCCCCCUUGCUCAUGCCCAGAGCUCUGGCACCCCUUGUCCUAGACCCAUCUCUGACCAAGCCACCAAGCCCUGCAGAUGCCCCCUCCUAAAGUUCUCCCAACACUAUUCUCUUUUCUUCAUCCCUACACCCAUAUCUUGGUUUAGGACAGCAGUUUCUAAGCCUGGCAAUAGAUCAGUGGCCUUUUUUUUUUUAGAUUGGGUCUUGCUGUGUCACCUAGGCUGGAGUGCAGUGGCGUGAUCAUGGUUCACUGAAGCCUCGACUGCCUGGGGGGUUCAAGCAAUUCUCCCACCUCGGCCUCCCAAGUAGCUGGGACCACAGGCGCAUGCCACCAUGCCCAGCUAUUAUUUGCAGAGAUAAGGUCUCAUUAUAUUGCCCAGGCUGGUCUUGAACUCCUGGGCUCAAGCGAUCCUCCCAAUUCAGCCUCCCAAAGUGCUGGGAUUACAGAUGUAAGCCACUGCUCCCAGCAAAUUAGUACCCUUGACAAAGCUUGUUAAGGCAGCAGCUCCCAGACCCCACCUCCAGAGAUGUGAAGGUCUGGGUGAGGCGCAAGAAUUUAUAUUAUUAACAAGUGCCUCACAGUUGAUUCUGAGAAGCUUGUACCAAGGACCUGUGCUGGGAGCCAGGAGUCCAAGCUUUAUCCUGUCCAGCCUCAGUUACAGCCUCAGCCCCUGGUCUGGCAUCAUCACACUCGUGUGGUCUGCAGCCCACCUCCCCACCAGGUGAACGUGUCCUUCUCACUCUCCCUGGAGCUGCUCUCCUAUCAGAAGCUCCCGGCCGACCAGACACUGCCUGGGGUGGACAUUCAGCAGAGUGCGAGUGGAGAGAGAGAGAUGGUGUUUACUCAGAACCUGCUCCUGGAGUACACCAACCAGACCACUCAGGUGGUGCCCCUGCGGGCUGUGGUGGCCGUGCCUGAGCUGCAGCUCUCCACCAGCUGGUUGGACUUUGGGACCUGCUUUGUGAGCCAGCAGCGAGUCCGGGAGGUCUACCUGAUGAACCUGAGCGGCUGCCGAAGCUACUGGACUAUGCUGAUGGGCCAGCAGGAGCCAGCCAAGGCCGCUGUGGCCUUCAGGGUCUCCCCAAACAGUGGGCUGCUAGAAGCACGAUCUGCCAAUGCACCCCCAACCUCCAUCGCCUUGCAGGUUUUCUUCACUGCCAGGAGUAGUGAGCUGUACGAGUCCACGAUGGUGGUGGAAGGUGUGCUCGGUGAGAAGUCCUGCACCCUGCGGCUCCGGGGCCGAGGCUCCUAUGAUGAGAGAUACAUGUUGCCUCACCAGCCCUGAGGCUCCGCCCCAGCCCUCAGCCCCAGGCCCCAGCUGGAGAAAAAACAUUGCCCAGGGAUUAGGAGCAGCUCUUCAGCACAAAGACACAGACUUGGGGACCUGGGGACCUCUGGGCAGCUCCUGGAAUGGAAGAACCCCCUUCCACAAUGGUCUCAGCCUAGGCCCUCAUGAUAUGUCCUCAGAGCUAACAUAAAGGACAGGCCACACCACAGCAGAGACCACCACAUUGAGAUCACUACUCAGUGCAUAGCAAAGACCAGUAUGGCAAAAUUAGUCUUGGAAAAAAACCACAGCCACUAAGAUAAAUUCAUGCACUUUUA